Non-coding RNA from Sus scrofa (pig), 1361 nucleotides. NCBI's taxonomy places the organism in Eukaryota, Metazoa, Chordata, Mammalia, Artiodactyla, Suidae. The record is from RefSeq and is a predicted model, not a curated record.
UAAUUUUGAUUCCAUUGGGCUGUGGAGAGGAACAAAUGAAAUAAAAACAGAAACUGCCCUUGGCACAGGAUGGACAUGAAGAAAAUACUGGUUUCCUUCCUUUCACCCACAUCUCAUCUGUGCAGUUUUUGCCUUCCAUUCAUUCAUUUAUUCAACAAAUAUUUGCUAAGGGCCAACUGAAUGCUGGCGAAUGGUGCCCUCUGCACUCAGGCAGCGUGGUGGCCCUGAUGUCCCUACCUUUAUGAAGUCUAGCCUGGUGGUAAAAAGCGAAGUGAAAUCAGAUGUUAGGGAAGUGUGGCACCUUGUUUUCUCAGCCUUGCUUUUCUAUGUCUCGUCACUCGGCUGUGAGACUAGACAUGAACUUGAUGCUCAGGGGGAAUUCUCCGAACCGACCUUGAGAACAAGACAGUGGUGACUCACACAGGUGGCUCAGAGCAUGCCAUUAAGGAGGCGUCCAAUGUUGGUCUCUUCCCUGGCCUCGGAUACUGUCCUUAGGAUAUAAAUGUGAUGGGACCUUAGAAGCAGUCUGAUCCAGGCCCCUCGUGUUUGUUACAAAUGAGGCAACUGCAGCCCUGAAAGAUGAAAUGAGUCACCCAAGGUCACACAGAGACUGGGGUGGCCAGAUCUCAGAAGAAGAGAUCAAGACCUGCAGAGAGAUGCUGCUUGAUUGGCCAAGGAGGAAAACUCAAGCAGCCUGGAGAGAGAUGGCGAAGACAGCUGGGGAAGAACCUGAGGUCCAGUUUCCAGGCAGAGGAUGUUCCCAUGAUGCCUCACGAGCUCCGUAGCUGCUAGAGUGGUCAGUCAGCUCACAAACGUCCUGCACACAGUCUGCUUUUGAUGUACCCGCCUGCCUGCCUUUUGGCAGGUUCGGAGCCCCUUUGGAGGGUGAGCCCUGUUGACAGCUUCCAGAGGUCAGAUCAAGGAGACAAAUAAAGCUCAGGUCAGCACUGCCAGGAUGGAGACACAGCUACCUGCAUCCCAGGAAUUGGCCGCAACAAAGGCCAUAGUGAGAGUGCCCCCUACAGAGCACAUCAGGGAGAAGCAGUCUGGGGGACAGGCAGCCUGAGGGGGUCUGUGAAACCAGGCAAAGGCCAUCUCCUCAUUUACUCAACCAACAGCUAUUCAUUGAACUCUUCCUAAGGUGUCAACAAGACAAAGAUGCUGGGUCCUCCUGGAGGGGAAUUUAGAAUAGCCACUUUAUGUCAAAACAUCUAGAGGGCAACCAGAUUGUUCCUCCUGGUUUUUCCUGAUUCCUGUGCACACUGUCAGGACAUCCAUUGUAAAUAGGAAGUGAUACUUGGCUAAUGGUCUUCGUUUCAUCCAGACCUCCACUUCCACCUUCUACUGGUGGAGCAGCUGGG